AAAUUGAAGAGUUUGAUCAUGGCUCAGAUUGAACGCUGGCGGCAAGCCUAACACAUGCAAGUCGAGCGGUAGCACAAGAGAGCUUGCUCUCUGGGUGACGAGCGGCGGACGGGUGAGUAAUGUCUGGGAAACUGCCUGAUGGAGGGGGAUAACUGCUGGAAACGGUAGCUAAUACCGCAUAACGUCGCAAGACCAAAGUGGGGGACCUUCGGUCCUCACGCCAUCAGAUGUGCCCAGAUGGGAUUAGCUAGUAGGUGGGGUAAUGGCUCACCUAGGCGACGAUCCCUAGCUGGUCUGAGAGGAUGACCAGCCACACUGGAACUGAGACACGGUCCAGACUUCUACGGGAGGCAGCAGUGGGGAAUAUUGCACAAUGGGCGCAAGCCUGAUGCAGCUAUGCCGCGUGUGUGAAGAAGGCCUUCGGGUUGUAAAGCACUUUCAGCGAGGAAGAAGGCAGCAAGGUUAAUAACCUUGCUGAUUGACGUUACUCGCAGAAGAAGCACCGGCUAACUCCGUGCCAGCAGCCGCGGUAAUACGGAGGGUGCAAGCGUUAAUCGGAAUGACUGGGCGUAAAGCGCACGCAGGCGGUUUGUUAAGUUGGAUGUGAAAU
This 610-nucleotide ribosomal RNA is filed under the name Candidatus Symbiopectobacterium sp. Chty_BC. Its description in RNAcentral is "bacterial SSU rRNA". It matches the Rfam family "Bacterial small subunit ribosomal RNA", at positions 1 to 600 of the family's 1533-position model. Lineage: Bacteria; Pseudomonadati; Pseudomonadota; Gammaproteobacteria; Enterobacterales; Enterobacteriaceae. The record is from RNAcentral.